UUUCUGAAAGCCGAACAACUGCGGAAGCAUUUGCCAAGGAUGUUUUCAUUAAUCAAGAACGAAAGUUGGGGGCUCGAAGACGAUCAGAUACCGUCCUAGUCUCAACCAUAAACGAUGCCGAGCAGGGAUCGGCGGAUGUUGCUUAUAGGACACCGCCGGCACCUUAUGAGAAAUCAAAGUCUUUGGGUUCCGGGGGGGGGGGGUAUGGUCGCAAGGCUGAAACUUAAAGGAAUUGAUGGAAGGGCACCACCAGGCAGAUCGGAAGAGGGUCGUGAG
Molecule: long non-coding RNA, 276 nt
Organism: Triticum aestivum (bread wheat)
Lineage: Eukaryota; Viridiplantae; Streptophyta; Magnoliopsida; Poales; Poaceae
Exons: 3
Source: RefSeq, a predicted model, not a curated record